This 253-nucleotide ribosomal RNA is filed under the name uncultured bacterium. RNAcentral's name for it is "partial 16S ribosomal RNA". It matches the Rfam family "Bacterial small subunit ribosomal RNA", at positions 524 to 776 of the family's 1533-position model. The record is from RNAcentral.
UACGUAGGGUGCGAGCGUUAAUCGGAAUUACUGGGCGUAAAGCGUGCGCAGGCGGCUUUGCAAGACAGAUGUGAAAUCCCCGGGCUCAACCUGGGAACUGCAUUUGUGACUGCAGGGCUAGAGUGCGGCAGAGGGGGAUGGAAUUCCGCGUGUAGCAGUGAAAUGCGUAGAUAUGCGGAGGAACACCAAUGGCGAAGGCAAUCCCCUGGGCCUGUACUGACGCUCAUGCACGAAAGCGUGGGGAGCAAACAGG